GUCCCGUUUGGUAGAGCAUGGCGCUUGCAACGCCAGGGUUGUGGGUUCGAUUCCCACAGGGGACC
RNAcentral lists this transfer RNA (65 nucleotides) under Salmo salar (Atlantic salmon). It matches the Rfam family "tRNA". Rfam says of the family: Transfer RNA (tRNA) molecules are approximately 80 nucleotides in length. The record is from Rfam by way of RNAcentral. Lineage: Eukaryota; Metazoa; Chordata; Actinopteri; Salmoniformes; Salmonidae.